AAUCCUGGAGCUCAACUCCAGAACUGCCAUUGAUACUAUCUAUCUUGAAUAUUGUGGAGGUAAGCGGAAUAUGUCAUGUAGCGGUGAAAUGCUUAGAUAUGACAUAGAACACCCAUUGCGAAGGCAGCUUACUACGCAUAUAUUGACGCUGAGGCACGAAAGCGUGGGGAUCAAACAGGAUUAGAUACCCUGGUAGUCCACGCCCUAAACGAUGGAUACUCGACAUAUGCGAUACACUGUAUGUGUCUCAGCGAAAGCAUUAAGUAUCCCACCUGGGAAGUACGUUCGCAAGAAUGAAACUCAAAGGAAUUGGCGGGGGUCCGCACAAGCGGUGGAGUAUGUGGUUUAAUUCGAUGAUACGCGAGGAACCUUACCUGGGCUAGAAAGUUAGUGAAUAUCCGUGAAAGCGGAUAGACCGAAAGGACACGAAACUAGGUGCUGCAUGGCUGUCGUCAGCUCGUGCCGUGAGAUGUUGGGUUAAGUCCCGCAACGAGCGCAACCCUUGCCAAUAAUUGCCAUCAUUCAGUUGGGCACUUUAUUGGGACUGCCGGGGUCAACUCGGAGGAAGGUGGGGAUGACGUCAAAUCAUCAUGCCCCUUAUGUCUUGGGCUUCACGCAUGCUACAAUGGCCGGUACAAAGGGCUGCAAUACCGUAAGGUGGAGCGAAUCCCAAAAAGC
Molecule: ribosomal RNA, 678 nt
Filed under: uncultured bacterium
Lineage: Bacteria
Description: bacterial SSU rRNA
Rfam family: Bacterial small subunit ribosomal RNA
Source: RNAcentral